Long non-coding RNA from Drosophila suzukii, 1383 nucleotides. RefSeq lists it as uncharacterized. The record is from RefSeq and is a predicted model, not a curated record. NCBI's taxonomy places the organism in Eukaryota, Metazoa, Arthropoda, Insecta, Diptera, Drosophilidae.
UUGGCGUGCUGGCCUGCGUGCAAAAUAACCGAGUUUUUUAGCCGCUCAUCCGACGCGUAUUUUGUUAAUUUAAUUAAACAAAAACGUUUUGUUUGUGUUUUUUCCAUUUGUUGCUGGCCAAAUGGUUUUUGCCCCGUCGCCGAGCACAAAAUGAAAUUGGAAUCGCGCUCGUGCACAACUUUGAAUAUGUUGAGCUCUCUCAAACGGUCGCUGCCGCCGAUAUUUCUGCUGUUUCUGUCGAUUUUUGCCCGUCUGCUGCGACAUUUGCGCUUUUUGCGGCAUCUUGUUUUCCCUCCGAUUGCUGUACAAGUUGUAUCUGCCGUUUAAUGACUUGCGCCGUUAAGUUUUAAUUGAAAUAUCACACACUUGACCACUGGAAAUUGCCAUUGUAAUUGUCAGCCGGGGUUUCGUUGGGCUUUAUGGUUUUUUUGGGGCUUAAGUAGGAGCGCAUUGGAAACUGAACCUGGAUUAUCUGGGAGACUCCCGUCAGCUAGGUCAAUUUGAAUUUUUCAUUGCCUGCCUCAUCAGCCAAAGAGAAAUCUGGAAAAGAAAGGGGUUUUAUAGCAAAAUUCACCUUAAUUUAGAACUCGCAUGUUUAUCGGCCAACACUGAGAAAGUUUUAAAACUUCCGCACGUGACUUCCGCGAAUGUAGUAUUGUCGAUCGCCCUGAUGAUCCCAGUGGCAAUUGAUGAGGCUCUUGGCCAACUCGGCUGUCAGCAUGAAGAGUUAACGAUUGCAGCGGUAAUUGGAGCCAAGUCAGUCCGUCGAGGCGUAGGCGAUUAAAAGGCGAUUAUUUCAAUUGUGGCCCGAGAAAUAAUGAUGCCAGUGGAUAGAUGGAUGGAAGAUGCUGCCCAGUUAUUUAUGGCGGACACUUCGCGCGGACUCUUGCCGGGACACCAUUUUGGGACCUGGCCAUUUUGGUGACCAGCGCUGCCCGACUAUGGAAAAUUCUAUAAUUGUGCAGGUGACAACGCGAGUGGCACGCGCUGCUGACGCUGAUUAGAGGCAGUUGCACCUGCAGCUGCACUCGCCGCAGUUGCAGAUACUUCAUCUCGAGUCACGCUCGUUUGUCCGCUGGCAUAUGACCAUAAAGAUAUUAUUAAUUAUGACAAUAUUGGAGUAAAAGUGUUCGCUCCGGGGUACGACACGGAAAAGGAGUGCGGCGACACUCCCUCGAGGAUAUUACAUUCUGUUUCUGAACUAGAUCUUCGAGUAGACUUCCAUUCAAGACCUUACUGUGGUAAGCAAAUAGAUAAAAUGCUAAGGUUCUGCGUUCCAUCGAUAUUUAUUUUUAAAGUUUUUUAAAAUACUGCAUUCCUUGAUUUAAUUUAAAAGCCUUGUGUGGUUUUACCGAUACUUUGUAAUAUAUUUGUUUUAAGAUA